This 501-nucleotide ribosomal RNA is filed under the name uncultured bacterium. RNAcentral's name for it is "partial 16S ribosomal RNA". It matches the Rfam family "Bacterial small subunit ribosomal RNA", at positions 29 to 523 of the family's 1533-position model. The record is from RNAcentral.
AUUGAACGCUGGCGGCAUGCCUUACACAUGCAAGUCGAACGGCAGCACGGGUGCUUGCACCUGGUGGCGAGUGGCGAACGGGUGAGUAAUACAUCGGAACGUACCUUAUCGUGGGGGAUAACGCAGCGAAAGCUGUGCUAAUACCGCAUACGCCCUGAGGGGGAAAGCGGGGGAUCGCAAGACCUCGCGCGAUUAGAGCGGCCGAUGCCUGAUUAGCUUGUUGGUGGGGUAAAAGCCCACCAAGGCGACGAUCAGUAGCUGGUCUGAGAGGACGAUCAGCCACACUGGGACUGAGACGCGGCCCAGACCCCUACGGGAGGCAGCAGUGGGGAAUUUUGGACAAUGGGGGCAACCCUGAUCCAGCAAUGCCGCGUGAGUGAAGAAGGCCUUCGGGUUGUAAAGCUCUUUUGUCAGGGAAGAAACACCGGCUCUAACACAGUCUGGGAAUGACGGUACCUGAAGAAUAAGCACCGGCUAACUACGUGCCAGCAGCAGCCGCCG